Molecule: long non-coding RNA, 10120 nt
Filed under: Olea europaea (common olive)
Lineage: Eukaryota; Viridiplantae; Streptophyta; Magnoliopsida; Lamiales; Oleaceae
Description: long non-coding RNA (OEUR_LNC013302)
Source: RNAcentral
AUUCCAAUAAUGUCAAUUAUCAUGUUUACAUCGACUCCUUCAACUCAUCUCACAACUCUCUCACCUCAUGUGAAGAAGACGCAGUUAGUCUACAAGCCCGAUUUUUCUCUGAGACCCUCGAAAAAGCUUCAGUACUUGGUACCCAUUUUUGCAAGUGCUGAUGAGGGGUCUGGAGUAGUUUCUACCGUUACAGUAGAGGAUGAGAAACCUUCUGAAAGUCCUGUGAGUGCUGGGGAGAAUCUAGGUUCUAACGGGUCUCCGCCGCUGGCCGUUGCCGAGGCUCCGGAGCCGCCUACCGAGGAGGUUGGAGUGAGUUCGAAUAAAUUUCAGGAUCCCAAAUGGGUUGGAGGGACUUGGGACUUGACGCAGUUCGCGAAAGAUGGGAAGACCGAUUGGGACGCUGUUAUUGAUGCUGGUGACUUUUCUCUCCCUUCUCUCUAUAUAUGCUGCUAUGCUUAGUAGAACAGGUUAGGGUAAACAUAAAUUGGUGUCGUGUGGUUGAUAAUUCUUAAUGAUCUGCUUACUUUGGAUCUUUUAGUAAAUGUAGUAAGAAAUUAUACAGCAUGACAAAUAGAUUAUCAUGAUUGACCCAAAUUUAUUCGAUAUACGACUUAUACUUUUUCUUGAUCCAUUAACCAAUGCUUCUGCGCCUCUUGUGCUUCAAGAAACUUAAGUUUAACUGCCUGAGGUGUGGGUGUGGUGACUAAAUAGGAAUAAACUGGUCAAAUAUGUGAACUUUAUGUUCACUAUUGGAACAUUUUGGCUUCCCUGGAAAGCUGGGAAAUGGUAGAGAAAUAUGUGUCUGAUGGUGGAGGGGGUUAAACACUAGUCGAAGGCAUUGCUAAAAUGCCUCGUGGCAAUGGAAAAAGGGUUUCGUCCCUUGAAGCUUAUUCCUCAUGUGAUGAGGACUCAGCAUGCCCCCUCAACCGCCUUUUAUGCCCUAUCAUUUAGGAUAGAACUACGGAUAUGGCAAAAGUUACGAAGCUUUAGAGAAGCUUGAGAGAAGACAAUAUUUUUGUUGAUGUAUUGGAAAUGUUGUCGUUCAAUUUAUCUUUUGCCUCAUAUAACAUUGGGCUUCAAAUGCUAAGUUCUGUGAUGAACUUUUAUGCAUUAUUUUCCUUGUCAGCUUGUCCAAGCUAAUUAAGUUCUUUUUUGUUUAUUAAUUGUCUUUGUAGAUGUCAGUUCUCUUAAUUGUGUCGUUACAUGUGCUAGCUCAUACUAGUGUCAGGUUAUAACGAAUUCAUUGUAGCUGCUUUCUUCCAUAUGGUUGGGAGUUUGUAAAAUUUGACUCGAACUGGAUUGAAAAAGGAUGUUUUUGGUUGCAUGGAAGUGCAUUGAGGUUUAAACAUUAUUGCAUGAUUUGGUAUUAUUCCUGCUCUAAGAGUUCUUGUCUGUGUAUCUAUCACUGGAUUGACCUCUCGAACAUUUUAAAGCUCACGGUGACGGUUUAAAGCUGUUUUGACCUGAAUGACCUCAUUUUAAAACUAAAUUUAUGUGUUUCUUCUGCAAUUAUUUAUUUAUUUAUUUAUUAUUAUUAUUAUUUUUUUAAUUUUUGUAUAGAUUUGUUUAGAUAUUUGUUAAACUCUCUCCAAAUAUUCGUAAUACUCUAGAGGUCACUUGAUUUUCAACGGAUUAUGUGGUUAAUUCUUUGCAGAAGUGAAAAGGAGAAAAUGGAUGGAAGAUAAUCCUCAAUCAUCAAGUAAUGAAGACCCUAUUGCUUUUGACACUGCUAUUAUUCCAUGGUGGGCAUGGAUUAAAAGGUUCCAUCUUCCAGAAGCUGAAUUGCUCAAUGGUUAGCACAUAUCUUCAGUCCCUUUCUUGAUGGCAUAUUUGGUGCAUGGAACUAGAUAGGGCUAGAAAAUAUUAAACAAAAUAAAAAACUUCAAAAGUCUUAUUCAUUAUUCCAUCAAGUUGUAUAGUACUGCAUACCAAACAUGUACUCAAUUUUUAGAAAUACAUUGGGUAUCAAGAAUGUUUUGGACUAAUGACAUUAAACUUUUAUGCAGGUCGGGCUGCAAUGAUCGGCUUCUUCAUGGCAUACCUCGUAGACAGUUUGACCGGGGUAGGUCUUGUUGAUCAAAUGGGCAACUUCUUCUGUAAAACACUGUUAUUCAUAGCUGUAGUGGGUGUUCUUCUGAUAAGAAAGAACGAGGAUAUUGAAACCCUUAAGAAAUUGCUGGAGGAGACGACAUUUUAUGAUAAGCAGUGGCAAGCAACUUGGCAGGAUGAGGCGUCAACCAAAUCUGAUAAGGACUAGAGAAAUUGUGGCGUCUAGUUUUUCUUGACUGAGACGGUUUCUGAGCAUCUUUAUUCGCUAUAUUUGAGAAUCUUGAUUUUCGAUGGCUGAUUAUGUUUUUUAUUUUUUUAGUAUUAUAUCAAUAUCUUAUGAGAAUAUGCAUGUUUUAGAUGAUUCUCAAGGAUGGCAACAGGGCGGGUGUGAGUGUGAAAAGCCCUCCCUGUCUCCUUCCCUGCCACGUGUAUGUGCCCGCAUUUCGUUGCUUCACUCUGUUCAAGUCACAAUGGAAACUCUUUCCAUUACAUUCCUCUGUAUUUCACUUUGUUCACUUUUCUACAGUAACUAUGUUACCUUCGUUAUGUUCACUUUGUUCAAUAGGGGAGCUCAAUUUCUCUCAUAACUGUGCAAUCUAUGAAGUUUAUGGCUUUUGUCUGUGCUUCGCUCGAGUAAAGUGGCAACUGUGCUCUUCCUGUCACAGCUUACAGCAGUUGGAGUGGGAGCUUGUCCCGAAGCCUUGUGGACUUUUGAGUCUCUCUCCCCAUUUCAUUUCGAGGUAGUUUCCACAGUUUUUGUGUCACUAAGCCCUCGUUCGGUAGCCAUUAAUUGUCAAAAUGAAUUUUUUCUAUCGCAUAGAGAGAGGGGGGGGGGGGGGGAUUUUUUUUUUCCCAAUUCUUGCUAAUUCAAACUGACGAAACAAUUCUAUCACUAUGUUGGAGGUAGAUGGGGUUACUUAUGAGGAACCGCAUGAUAUCGGGACCUAACUAGUGAGUUUCUCUCAAACUCUUUAUCAGGAGCAGUUUGACUCGAGGCUGGAAUUGGAAGGCUAGACUUUUUCUACUAUUAAUGAGGAGAAUGCCGAUUGGUUAGAGAGACCAUUUGAGGAGGAUGAAAUUAAGGAGGUGGUGUUCAGAAUGAAUGACGACAAGGAUCCAAGAUCGGACAAUAUUUCUUUCUCAUUCUAUAAGGUUUGUUGAGAAGUGGUGCGAUCGGAUAUUAUGGUUGUCCUUACUUGGUUUUUCCAGUGUGGCAGGUUCUUGAGAAACUCCAAUGCUACAUUUAUUGUGUUGAUUCCUAAGAAAUCGGGAGCAACGGAUAUUAAAGACUUUCGUCCUAUCAGUUUAUUGAGUGGGAUAGACAAGAUUAUUGCGAAGAUUCUGGCGAAUUGAUUAAAGGAGGUGCUAGAGAAAGUGGUGUCUAAGUUUCAAAUUGCUUUUGUCAAUGGGUGCCAAAUUAUGGAUUCCAUACUUAUGGCGAAUGAAUGCAUCGACUUAAGAAUGCGUCUAGGGGUUCCAGAGAUGUUAUUUAAGCUUGACAUUCAAAAGGCUUAUGAUCACUUAAAUUGGGAAUUUCUUUUGUAUAUGCUCAGACAAUGUGGCUUCUGAGAUAAGUGGUGCCAGUAGAUUUUUGUUUUGUAUCUCUACUGUUUCUUUCUCAGUUAUGGUGAAAGACACUCUUGAGAGUUAUUUUCGGAGUAGUAGAGGAUUAAGGCAAGUGAAUCCUUUGUCUCCAUUACAAGGGGUUUAUGAUUGAUUAGCUGCAGGUAUCUCAUUUGUUGUUUGCAUUAUUGCAUAUGAUACACUAAUCUUUUGUGAUGCAGAUGUUGAGCAAUUCAGGAACCUGUGUCGUUUGCUUCUGUGUUUUGAAGCUAUAUUUGGACUGAAGAUAAAUCUUGGGAAAUCUGAAGCUAUCACAGUGAGAAAGGUCGAGAACGUGGAGGAGUUGACUGCUUUAUUGGGUUGUAAGGCUGCUUAUGUCAUAUCUUGAGCUUCCUUUAGAAGCACGGUUUAAAAGUAUACAUUUUUGGAACAAUAUUAUGGAAAGGGUGGAGAAAAGGCUAGUGGAGUGGAAGCGUAUGUACCUCUCAAAGGAUGGUCGUCUUACUCUCAUUAAGUCUACUUUAUCGAAUCUUCCUACUUAUUUUUUAUCAUUGUUUCCUAUUUUUGCUGCAGUGGCAAAAAGAUUGAAGAGGAUUCAAAUGGAGUUUCUGUGGGGAGGAGUAGGGAAGGAGAAGAAAUUAUAUUUGGUUAACUGGGAUGCAGUUUGUUCUCCAAGGUGUGGAUUUUCGGAUUGAGGAGCCUUGUAUUGUUUAAUAAGGCCUUGUUGGGUAAGUGUUUGUGACGACUCGGAAUGGAGAAGGAGGGUUUUUGGAAAGAAAUUAUAGGGGCAAAAUAUGAUGGGCAAGGGUUGGUGCUCAGUCGACGGCCGUGGCUCUUAUGGGGUGAGUUUGUGGCGGUAUAUCCGUCGAAGGUGGAUCUUUUUUAGGAUAGAUUGUCUUGGGAAUUGUAAUACUAUUAAUUUUUGGGAUGAUUGUUAGUUCGGAGAGCAACCGCUUAGGACAGGAUUUCCCUCUUUGUAUCCUAUUACUUUGGAGCUAUCUACUACGGUGAAUGAGAUUUAGAUAUACAUAUUGAAAGUCUCAAUUGGAACAUUGUUUUUCGGUGGGGUUUGUAGGACUGAGAAGUGGAUGAUUAUGCGUUGCUUCUGACAUCUUUGUAUAAGGUGCACUUCAGGGUAGGAGACGGUGAUUGUAUCAGGUGGAGGUUGACACGAGAUGGUAUCUUUUCGAUCAACACUUAUUUUAGAUCCUUAUUGAGACCCGUGGAGAGUUCAUUAUGUAAAUUACCUCCAAAUGUGGCAUUUUUACUUUGGACGGUUGUUAGGGAACAGGGGUUAAUGGUGGAUAACCUUCGAGCUAGGGUUUUUAUGUUAUAGAGUGGUUCUAUGUGUGUAGGAGGGAUGAGGGAGACAAUUGACCACUUAUUCCUUUAUUUUGAUGCUGGUCGUUUGCUGUGGAACGACGUUCUGGCAUUUCAACACAUGGAUUGGAUGUUACCGAGGUGUAUGGAAGACGUGCUAAAGGCAUGUAAGAGAAAGUUCCAUGAUAAGGAUAGCAAGCUUGUGUGGGACCUUAUUCUACGUUGUAUUGUAUGGAGUGUGUAGAGAGAAAUAUACAACCUCUGUAUUGAUUAUCAAACACGGACAACAAAGCAGAUUAUGGAAGUGUAUUUUUGACAUUGUAUACUUGGUUUAAUGCUACGGCUACUAGGCAUAUAGACGGGAUGCCCAAUUUCGUGUUGUUUCUUUCUGACUUAAAGUAAAUACACUUCCUAUGUAUUAUUCCUUAAUUAAUAAAAUAUUGGAUUACCUUUCAAAAAAAGAGUGGUCAAAGUCUGUCAUAAAAUUAAUUCCUAGCUUUUAAUUAGUCAAUUAGAUUAUAUAAUUAUGCAAGGAACCUCCUUGAGGGUGUGCUGAAAAAGAUUGACACUCUGAGUCAGGAAAGCAUGUCAACACGUUACAUUUGUCUUGAUCAGUAAAAGGUUUAGUUAUUACUUAUUGGUCGUAUUUUCAGAGACAAUUUUCAGUUGUCCAACAUACCAACAAUAUAUAUGUUCAUAUAUGAACUAAAAAAAAGUGCAUCCUACUCAUGCUUCCAACUCUCUUUAAAAUAAAAUGGCACUAGAAACAGUACUAGAAACUAUUUUCGUAUUAUAUUAUCCAAAACAUUCUACGUGUUUUUGAUCCACCGGUAAAUUUAGUUUCCAGAACUUACUAAAAGAAGUCUUUACGAAAUGAGAAAUCUUUUACAAAAUACUCCUGAAAAGGUCACAAUUUCUAACUACGAAUCUAUUUUACUUUAUAUCUCUGUCAUGAGAAGCAAAAGUGUAUUGAAUAAAAAACCACUGAAGAAAAUGGAAGAGUUGAGUGAGGAAAGAAGAGACUUGAAAUUUAGAGGAAGAUAGUGAAGUUUUGUACCGCAAGAGUAUAUUUGGUAUGCAAUGCUGGACAUGACUAAGCGAUAUAAUUGGUAAAAUUUUAGCUUUUUUUUACCUCUUUAAUGUUAUCAAGUACUAUUCAAUUCACUGUAGCAAACAUGCUAUAAGUGAAGUAGAGAGAGAGAAUGGGCAGAGUUUCUUGGAUGUUAUUUAAUAUACUUCUGUAUUUAUUAAAAAAAUAUUUCACUGAUGAACUUUAUAAUUUUGUGCAGCUUUUCCCUGAUUGUUCUCCACUUUCAGUCAAAUACAUCCUAGAGUUGUUGGCAGUACGCCAUUGUGCAGGUUGCCAUUUCUAUCGAGCAGAAAGUCGUGGUCAAUCUUGGGAUGCAAAAGGAAAACACAUCGAAGAUGUAAGAACUAAACAUUGUUUCUUGGUCUUGUGCAUCCCUGAUCAUUGUAUUUGCAUAUGUAGUCUUGACUACUAAGAGGAACUUAGGAGUCUGUUCUGUUCAUUCAGAGUCAUCAUUUUGAUUCAUUUCACUUGCCUGAUUAUUAUCCCCCCCGUUUGAUGGUGCUUAAAAGGCUGAUCAUUAGCAAUUUUGCAACUUUGAAACUUCAAAAUCUCAAUAAAAUAUUAAACAAACUGACCCACACCUGAUUUCAUCCCCAACAUUGCACAAUGUCUAUUUUCCCUCUUAAUUGUGAAUCCCUUUCUACCCUUGAUUUACAUGUUGAAAAAGACUGAAUUUUAUGCGUUUGAUUUCCCACAGCAAUACUGGUAAGGCCAUUUCCAGUAUUUCCCAUAAAUUUGGCAAAGACAUGCCAUAUUUUGUUGGAAAAGCGGCAUAAUUGUUUAACCAAUUUUAUACUCGCACACAAUCCAAAAUAAAAGAUAUUUUUCAAACUAGUGUCAUUUAGUUCUUCUUUCACACAUUUGUGAAGAGGAUGUUUGGCUAAGCUUAAAAUUAAUUCAAACUUACUUUUAAGUGGAUUUUAAUUCUAAACAUGUUUGGAUAUGCUACUUUUCUUAAUUGAAGUAAAAAAUAGUCACUUAUUUUGACAUCAAGGAAAGGGUUAUUUUCAAAAUAAGUACUUGCUUAUUUCCUACUUUGACCAACAAAAGAGUUAUUUUUAUUGAACUUAACUGUUUACCUAUAAGCAAUUAUUUUAAGCUUAGCACAUAUUCCUAUGUGCAUGCCUACAAAAUUCCAUGAAAUCUGUAGUAUUAGAUCAGUUUUAGAGGAAUUUAAAGCGGUAGAGAAACUAGAUAUCAUUCAUUUUAAUCUCUUUCUCCUUAUUACUUUUAUUUAUCCUCCUAUAAAUGUUUAUGGUCAAGAUUUGCUAACCUUAUUACUUAACUCUUUAUUUCUGUUUGUGUUUUUGUUUUAUGUUUCAAUGCGUUGGACUGAUUUUUUUAGUGACUGAUGAUAAGUUAUUAUUUUCCGCUGCUUUAAUUUGUUUGGAAAAUCAUCUGAUUAUUCCAUUUGCUGGAAAAUCAUCUUGAUUUCAUCUUCUUUUGUCUUUUCAGGCUUCCUUUGGUCCUCCAUUUGCUCUUGUUCAAGGAACACUUGAUGCCCAAGGAAUGACAUUCAAUAAAAUCCCGUCAGAGUACUGCCCUACCAUAAGAAGAGGAUCAGUAGCAUGGGUUGGCUCUGGUCCUGAAUUCUUCAUAAGCUUGGCAAAUCACGAAGAAUGGAAAAAUUCAUACACCGUAUUUGGUUCUGUACUUCCCGAAGACUUGAUGAUAGCAGAGAAAAUUGCUCAGCUUCCAAAAAAAUCAGAUGUUUGGAACAACAUUAAUGUGUCAGUUUUAGAAAACCCUGUACCUCUAAGGAUUCAAAGAAUGAAGAUUAGUGUGUCGUAAACUUGUAACUAGUUAUAUGCCAAUAAGAAGAUAUCUGAAUUGAGUUUUAACUGAUACUUUUUGUAUGAUGUAUUAUAGGUUUCGUUCCAUGGUUCUGCUUUUUGUCUUUGUUGUACCAUCGUUUAUUCGAGUUUUGUAAAUAUAACAAUGCAAAUGUAUGUUAUUACCUUUUUGAAGUUGAAGUUGAAGCAUUAUGCAACAGUUGCAGAACAAGUUGGGGCCAUUUGUUGCAUUGCUUCCUUUUUGGAAGAAGUGAUUAUUCUCUGAUCAAUCCCAAUAAAUAAUUUCUUUCAAACAAUCCCGUGAAUUAUUUUUUGAGCAAAGAGUUCUAGGCCGCGCUUGCGAGCACAUCGGACCUAGGUUUCUAGACUCGUGGUCUACACGGGGCCGAUGACUCUCUUUGUAGAGCAUCAUUUGCUUCACAUGAAUACAUGAGAAAUUAGUUGAUAUAAUUCAAGUUUGAUAUACUACAUCGCCAAUUCUAAUAUGAACAAAGUAGAACAUUUUGACUAAGUCAAAUUAUUAAGAGGAGGCAAACAACAUAUAAGUUCUGUUUGAUAUGACAAAACUGGUUUGAAAAGUUGUGCAUCCCGUGAAAUAUGAUAGAAAAUGAGUUUGAGAAAAAAAUGGGUUUUAGAAAAUGGAGGGUCAAAUAAGAGCGUAAUUUAAAAAAUCGGGUAUGUCUAGAACUAUAUAUGGAGGCAUUAACACUUUGUUGAGAAGGUGGAGUAGGAGAAAAGUAGUUGUGUAUUAAGAACUAUACAUGUAGGCAUCAACUACCAUGAUGUGGGUUGAACUGCCAUGAUCAGGGUGGGCUCAAUGAAAGAAGCAUUGAUGAGCACGAAUCUACCAUAGUUGAGGCUACAGAUGGUGGUAGGAAUGUUAAUUUGGGUUGUUUGCCCGGAUUGCUUGUGGCUCAAAGGAAGGAAGCCCAGGCUCGAGUGGAGCCUUAUUUUAAUAGGUAACUCAAACCCAAGCUGACCUGUGUAGCUUGGCCCGUAAUGGCUCGUGAUGAGCCAAACAAGCACGAACCAUUUUUUGCCCGUGUUUGUUGAAAUAGGCAAUAACUAUUGCCUCUUUAUGUCGAUUGCCAUUAAAUAGCAGUUGCCUUUUUAACAGGUAGCUAUAUAGCAGUUGUGAUACCUUAAAAAAAAUGAGUUGGUUGGGCUCAAUAAGGCCUCGAGCCGAGCUUAAAGUUUUCCUCCAAGCUAAACUCUACUUGUUUACAUUCCAAUAUAGUGACGCGAAUUAGAUUGGAGCGAUGCCAUAGUUAAGCUAGAGUUCGAAUUGCAGAUAUGAGAUUUAUAUACGGACUUGGUGUUGUUUUGUGGGUAAGUAGGGGUGGAGGAGUUGGUAGUUGUUGAAUUUUGGAUUUGUGGUGAUUUUUGGGGUUGGAUAUGGUGGAGGGGAUGGUGGUGAUGAUUGUGAUGGUGGUGAGAUGAUUGUAGUGGUCACAAGAUCAAUUAUACAUCAGAAAUUUUCAAAAUGAUGAUUUGUAGUGGUUUUUUUUCACACGUCAGUUUAUUGUAUUUUUGAUAAAAGGUAAUGACGGAGGUGGGGAUGCAUUAGUUAGUUAAAAUUUCAAAAAAUUACACACAACGUGACAACAAUAAUAUGAUCAGGAGGGAGGUGCUUUUUUAGAUUUAGUUUGCCUUCGGACUAUUGGGGGUUUUCUAUACGUUCUCAAACACCAUGAGGUCCACGCAGAAAUUCGCCAAAAAAAAAAAAAUGAGCGGGGCGAUGGGACUUUUCAAGGUUGGGGUUCAACCCCAUUUUUUAUUUAUUUUUAUUUUUUUAAGAAAUUCACAAAAGCUUAGGGAGUACGAUAUUAAUUACAAAGGCAGCUACCAAAAGUACCCCCUCGAAAUAUUCGGAUGAGGAUAGCGCAAAAGAUCACUGAGUUCUGAACUAAGCCUCUCGCUUUCCCUUCCCUUUUCAUAACACAGCAAAUCGAUUCCAAUAAUGUCAAUUAUCAUGUUUACAUCGACUCCUUCAACUCAUCUCACAACUCUCUCACCUCAUGUGAAGAAGACGCAGUUAGUCUACAAGCCCGAUUUUUCUCUAAGACCCUCGAAAAAGCUUCAGUACUUGGUACCCAUUUUUGCAAGUGCUGAUGAGGGGUCUGGAGUAGUUUCUACCGUUACAGUAGAUGAGAAACCUUCUGAAAGUCCUGUGAGUGCUGGGGAGAAUCUAGGUUCUAACGGGUCUCCGCCGCUGGCCGUUGCCGAGGCUCCGGAGCCGCCUACCGAGGAGGUUGGAGUGAGUUCGAAUAAAUUUCAGGAUCCCAAAUGGGUUGGAGGGACUUGG